GCUUACGGCCAUGCCACGUUUAAAGCGCGACAUCCCGUCCGAUCUGUUAGGUUAAGAAAUGUUGAGACUGGUUAGCACUUGGAUCGGAGGCGGCUUGGGAAUCCCAGUUGCUGAGAGCA
RNAcentral lists this ribosomal RNA (119 nucleotides) under Anisakis simplex (herring worm). Lineage: Eukaryota; Metazoa; Nematoda; Chromadorea; Rhabditida; Anisakidae. The record is from RNAcentral.